RNAcentral lists this ribosomal RNA (892 nucleotides) under Nawawia filiformis. Its description in RNAcentral is "LSU rRNA". It matches the Rfam family "Eukaryotic large subunit ribosomal RNA", at positions 35 to 960 of the family's 3401-position model. The record is from RNAcentral. Lineage: Eukaryota; Fungi; Ascomycota; Sordariomycetes; Chaetosphaeriales.
UAAGCAUAUCAAUAAGCGGAGGAAAAGAAACCAACAGGGAUUGCCCCAGUAACGGCGAGUGAAGCGGCAACAGCUCAAAUUUGAAAUCUGGCCUCGGCCCGAGUUGUAAUUUGCAGAGGAUGCUUCUGGCGCGGCGCCUUCCAAGUCCCCUGGAACGGGGCGCCGGAGAGGGUGAGAGCCCCGUACUGUCGGACGCCAAGCCAGUGUGAAGCUCCUUCGACGAGUCGAGUAGUUUGGGAAUGCUGCUCAAAGCGGGAGGUAGACCCCUUCUAAAGCUAAAUACCGGCCAGAGACCGAUAGCGCACAAGUAGAGUGAUCGAAAGAUGAAAAGCACUUUGAAAAGAGGGUUAAACAGCACGUGAAAUUGUUGAAAGGGAAGCGCUCGUGACCAGACUUGCGCCGGGGCGAUCAUCUGGCGUUCUCGCCGGUGCACUCGCCCCGGCCCAGGCCAGCGUCGGUUCGCGCGGGGGGAUAAAGGCGUCGGGAACGUGGCUCCCCCGGGAGUGUUAUAGCCCGGCGCGUCAUGCCCCCGCUGCGGACCGAGGUUCGCGCUCUGCAAGGACGCUGGCAUAAUGGUCAUCAGCGACCCGUCUUGAAACACGGACCAAGGAGUCGAGGUUCUGCGCGAGUGUCUGGGUGUCAAACCCGCACGCGUAAUGAAAGUGAACGCAGGUGGGAGCUUCGGCGCACCACCGACCGAUCCUGAUGUUCUCGGAUGGAUUUGAGUAGGAGCGUGGGGCCUCGGACCCGAAAGAUGGUGAACUAUGCUUGGAUAGGGUGAAGUCAGAGGAAACUCUGAUGGAGGCUCGCAGCGGUUCUGACGUGCAAAUCGAUCGUCAAAUCUGAGCAUGGGGGCGAAAGACUAAUCGAACCAUCUAGUAGCUGGUUACCG